Anopheles merus is the source of this 1881-nucleotide RNA transcript. RefSeq lists it as uncharacterized. Lineage: Eukaryota; Metazoa; Arthropoda; Insecta; Diptera; Culicidae. The record is from RefSeq and is a predicted model, not a curated record. The transcript has 7 exons.
GUAGUUACUGUCACCUCUUUUAGUCGGAAAGAAACUUCCGCCCGAGUCCCCACCAAACACGAUGGGUCAUUUCUUCACGUUCCCGCGUAUUCCGGUGUUUAUUUUGUACUGCUGCUGCUUCAUCAUCACCGCCACCACUGCGGUGGAUCCACCGACCUGUGAUUCAUCCUACGGAUGCAUCUCCUCCAUCCGGCAGGAGGACUGUGCCAAGGGCGAGAUAUUGAUCUCGGGCGGUUCGCUCAACGGUUGCUGUCCGGGUUGCCGCGGCGGUCGAACCUACCUGGCCGUGUGUAACCUGAACAUUCCCGAUCGGCGCUGUGCGCCGGGCCUGAAGUGUGUUGGGCGCAAGUGUAUCUACGAUCGCUCCACCUGUCUGCACACGAUGCAUCUGGAUAAGGAUUUGGUCGGCUGGAUCCCGAAGUGCAACCUGGACGGGACGUACGCGGCCAAGCAGUGCCGGGGAGAUCGGCUGUCCGGUCGCUGCUUCUGCUACAGCGAGGACGGCAAACGGAUCUUCGGCUGGGACUGGUACCGCAACACCGAGCGGAUGACUUGCGCCUGCAGCAGACGCCGCGAUAAGCUGGAGAAGGAGGGCCGCUUCGAUGUCACGCUGCACUGUACGCAAAACGGCAACUACGAGGAGCUGCAGUGCGAUUCGGGACUGUGCUGGUGUGCGGACGAGCUGACCGGCAGUGUCCAGCUGGGCACGACCGUCGUGCAUGAAAGCUUGUGGGAGCUGCUGCCCUGCUAUAACAGCACGCUGCACGGUGAGUCGUACCUGCGCCAGUGCGAAAGUGCGGCCCAGGCGCAGAAGCUGAUUCUGAAGAAGUUUUACGCGCGCGGUACCGUUGGCGUCACCUUCAACGAGAUUCCGUGCGACUACGACGGCGCGUACGGCCGGUACAAGGUGGAAAAUGGAGUCGUCUACUGCACUUGGCGUGACGGAAAGAAGAUUGGCUCGUUUCAGAUACGCUCCAGCAUGCUCUCGUCGGUGAACUGCUAUUGUGCACGUGAUACAAUCAUCUACCGGGAGGCGGGCAUACCGUUCACGCUGGCCUGCGGCGGCAACGGGAACUACGAGUACUCCCAGGACCAGAACGGGCAACUGUUUUGCGUCGACAGCGACGGGUUCGUGGUAACGACGGAGGUCGCACCGAAUGAGUCAUGCGAUAAGUUCAUCUACAACUCCGCUUUCUACGACGAGGACUGAUUGCUGUGGUGGUGGUGGCUUCCGCCUUGGCUCGCUUCCAUCGCGCCGCGUAUCUCCCGCAACAAACAUCUAAAACGUGAACAAUCAAGCCCGAAACCGAAAGAAUCUAAAUCCCGUUGAUGACAUUGGAAACCGGACCUACCGCCUAGCGCGAUGUGAAGGUGCGGCAAUGCAUUAACCAGGAGGGGAUUCGGGUAAGUGUAUCCUUUCCAUAACACUGAACCACAUCGCGCAUUGGUCGGUCGAUAUGUUAUGGUUUGGGUAACUGUACACCACACCACUCUGUAGCACACAUGUCUACUGUUGGCUCGAUCUACUAGAGCAGUAAAGGCUUUCGCUUCCAGUGACGCCCAGUGUCCAAGCGUUCGAUACAUUCCACCGGACUACUAGGUGGCAAACACGCCUGACCUUUCCAAUACACGCGGUAUGGCGGCUCUGCUCAAGCAAACCUGUUCCAGUUUUGCAGCUCACCGCAAUCGAAGCAAAAGUGUGGAAACGGUAGCCUGCGAGUUCAAUGUUUGCGCUCAGAAUGUGUCGGAAAGGUUACGUAGCGUGUCACAUGUUGGAAGGCAUGUUUUACAUCGCAAAUCCGUUUACCGAGCAGGAUAUUGAAUGGGGAUUUCUUGCACCUUUUUAUGAGGCCUAAAAAUGGAGCAGCAACAUACAACUAG